GUGCUCGCUUUGGCGGCACAUCUACUAAAACUGGAACGAUACAGAGAAGAUUAGCAUGGCUCCCGCGCGGGGAUGGAAUAAGUCUAUAUUGCAAGGUGAUUACUACAGUA
Molecule: small nuclear RNA, 110 nt
Organism: Ailuropoda melanoleuca (giant panda)
Lineage: Eukaryota; Metazoa; Chordata; Mammalia; Carnivora; Ursidae
Source: Ensembl